This 535-nucleotide long non-coding RNA is filed under the name Homo sapiens (human). RNAcentral's name for it is "HSALNT0044062". Lineage: Eukaryota; Metazoa; Chordata; Mammalia; Primates; Hominidae. The record is from RNAcentral.
GGUGCCUAAGAAAAUUGUGGUAGAAGAAAAAGUACGUGUUCCUGAAGAGCCCAGAGUUCCACCAACUAAAGCACCCGAAGUACCCAAGAAAAUUGUCCCAGAAGAAAAAGUUCGUGAAGCUGUUCUGAAAAAGCCUGAAGUUCCACCAGCUAAAGUGCCAGAAGCUUCCAAAGAGGUUAUCCGCGAAGAGAAAGUGCCCUUGGCUCCUCCUAAAGAGCCUGAAGUCCCACCUGUUAAAGUACCAGAGCCUCCCAAAGAAGUAGUUCCUGAAAAGAAAGCGCCAGUGGCUCCUCCUAAAGAGCCUGAAGUCCCACCUGUUAAAGUGCCUGAGGCUCCCAAAGAAGUUGUUCCUGAAAAGAAAGUGCCAGUGCCUCCUCCUAAAAAGCCUGAAGUGCCACCCACAAAAGUCCCAGAGGUGCCAAAGGCAGCUGUCCCAGAAAAGAAGUUGCCUGAAGCUAUUCCUCCCAAACCGGAAAGUCCUCCCCCUGAAGUGCCUGAAGUGCUGCCACCGAAGGAAGUGGUCCCAGAAAAGAAA